This 286-nucleotide ribosomal RNA is filed under the name uncultured bacterium. RNAcentral's name for it is "partial 16S ribosomal RNA". It matches the Rfam family "Bacterial small subunit ribosomal RNA", at positions 28 to 311 of the family's 1533-position model. The record is from RNAcentral.
GAUGAACGCUAGCGGCAGGCUUAAUACAUGCAAGUCGAGGGGCGGCAGGGGUAGCAAUACCCGCUGGCGACCGGCAAACGGGUGCGGAACACGUACACAACCUUCCUUUAAGUGGGGGAUAGCCCAGAGAAAUUUGGAUUAAUACCCCGUAAUAUUAUUUAGUGGCAUCAUUAAGUAAUUAAAGCUCCGGCGCUUAGAGAUGGGUGUGCGGCUGAUUAGGUAGUUGGUGAGGGUAACGGCCACCAAGCCUUCGAUCAGUAACUGGUGUGAGAGCACGACCAGUCAC